RNAcentral lists this ribosomal RNA (467 nucleotides) under uncultured bacterium. RNAcentral describes it as "partial 16S ribosomal RNA". It matches the Rfam family "Bacterial small subunit ribosomal RNA", at positions 29 to 507 of the family's 1533-position model. The record is from RNAcentral.
ACGCACGCUGGCGGCGUGCUUAACACCUUCCAGUCGCACGGAAAGGCCCUGCUUUUGUGGGGUGCUCGAGUGGCGAACGGGUGAGUAACACGUGAGUAACCUGCCCUUGACUUUGGGAUAACUUCAGGAAACUGGGGCUAAUACCGGAUAGGAGCUCCUGCUGCAUGGUGGGGGUUGGAAAGUUUCGGCGGUUGGGGAUGGACUCGCGGCUUAUCAGCUUGUUGGUGGGGUAGUGGCUUACCAAGGCUUUGACGGGUAGCCGGCCUGAGAGGGUGACCGGCCACAUUGGGACUGAGAUACGGCCCAGACUCCUACGGGAGGCAGCAGUGGGGAAUAUUGCACAAUGGGCGGAAGCCUGAUGCAGCAACGCCGCGUGCGGGAUGACGGCCUUCGGGUUGUAAACCGCUUUCGCCUGUGACGAAGCGUGAGUGACGGUAAUGGGUAAAGAAGCACCGGCUAACUACGUG